RNAcentral lists this ribosomal RNA (499 nucleotides) under Coolia malayensis. RNAcentral describes it as "partial large subunit ribosomal RNA". It matches the Rfam family "Eukaryotic large subunit ribosomal RNA", at positions 151 to 640 of the family's 3401-position model. The record is from RNAcentral. Lineage: Eukaryota; Dinophyceae; Peridiniales; Ostreopsidaceae.
CAAAAUGCAUUGCUAACACAACUGCACAUGUUUGUUUAUUGGAAAGAACAUCACAAAGGGUGACAAUCCCAUGUGUCAUGUGUAUGUUUUGUGUACAGCGUGCAUUAUAUGAAUCACAUUCAUUGACAAUUGAAUGCAAAUAGAAUGGUAAAUUUCAUUUAAUCAUAAAUAUGUUGUUGACAACUUAUAGCAAACAAAUACCAUGAGGGAAAUGUGAAAAGGAUUUUGAAAAGAAAAUUAAAAGAGCUUGCAAUUGCUGAACUGAUAAGCAAACAAAACAUACGUGUGUAUGCAAGAUUGUUGUAAUGCUUAGCAUCCUAUGCAAGGCUAUUGCAAUGAUUUUUUGUAUAGUGAUGCUACCUUUUUUUAGAAUUUGGAAUGUCUUUUUUUGAGUGUGAAUGGAAUUUUGUUUGUUAGCAAAGGAAUGCACUUUUAGAUUCAUUGUUUGAUUUGAUUUAAAAAUGUUUGUGACACGUGUCUUUGUUUUAGUUUCAUGCUU